Molecule: long non-coding RNA, 2539 nt
Organism: Vicia villosa (hairy vetch)
Lineage: Eukaryota; Viridiplantae; Streptophyta; Magnoliopsida; Fabales; Fabaceae
Exons: 10
Source: RefSeq, a predicted model, not a curated record
AAUACAAAUUCAAAACUCAAAACGCUUUCACUCCAACUUCAAUUUCAUCAUGUUCGGAAACAACACAUGCAGCGGAGACGCUCCAUUUUCUCUCUCAGUCGUGUUCUCUGUCGUCUCAACCUCGCGUCCAUUACAAACCCGACGGCCGAAGAACUCAUACGAGUUCUCUUCUCCGACGAACUCUCGGUCUCAAUAUCUUCUUCUCCUCUUUUCGAUUUCUAAUUCGUUGUUUGUUGGUUUGAUGAUGAUGGUGAUACGGAAUCGGUGAUUUGUGUUGUUGUAUUGUGUGUUUCUGUCCAAGCUUGAUUCGGUGAAAGUGCAAUGAUGAUGAUGGGUUUAGAUCUGUGUAUUUGUUCAUCUCCACGACUGUUUUUAUAAAUCAAAUUAUUUCAUCCCUUUUCUCUGCUAUAUAUUGAAUCAAAUUAAGGCUACAUCAUAUAGGAUUUCAUCUCAGUAGCCAGAAAGGAUUUAGACUUGAUCGGGUUUUACCGCUGACUUUUGAAUCUAACAGGAGGAUGAAGUGAAAGAAAGAGCAAAAAGAGAUGCAGCUGCUAGCAAAUGAAGGGAAUACUCAUGGAAAGGAUUGUGUAUGAAGUGAUGGCUUCUUAUUGUAUUGGAAGAGAAUUUUAAUUGUGACAUGGAUAAGCAGUGACUUGGUUCUGAAAUUGCAUAUGUGCUAUUACUGUUUUGGGUUGUAUAAUUAUGCAGUAUCGAAGAUACACUAUUGAGGAAAUAGAAGAAGCGACAAAAUACUUUUCCAACUCACUGAAGUUGGUGAAGUAUGUUAUGGACCAGUCUAUAGGGCUGAAUUAGUUCUCACUGCAUUUGCAAUAAAAGUGUUGCAACCCUGUGCAGCUCAAGGAUGGUUGCAAUUUCAACCAAGAUUGAAGUUGUGAUAAGCAUAAGGCAUCUAAACAUGGUUCUUCUAUUUGAAGCGUGUCCGGGGUUCGGUUGCUUACCGUAUGAGCACAUGAGUAAUGGAAUGUUGACGUGCUAUCUAGAUUUAGACAUUAGCAUAUAGGGCAAUAUAAAUUCUUUUUCAGGGUUUUCAUGUGUUCCAUAUAAAUAUUUGAAACACUAUAUUUCUAGGUGGAUGCAGAAAGUGUGUACUGAACUUUUAUGUUUGUUGCAUUUUAAUAAUGAUUAAAGCUGAGAAAAUAAUUUAGCAGCAAAGUUGAGUCAACAAUUGCAGCAAUGCGAGGGCUUUCGGCUACUACAGCUAGCAAUCAACCACAACUUACUACUUUGUUUUAACUGGCUGCUCAUGAAGCUAAAAAAUCAAGUACUCAGGGUUGCAUUUAACAGUGAUUUUAUUCUACUGCAGAUCGAUAGGGUGCCCACAACAUCAGUGGCCCGUGAACCAGAGGCUUUUCACUAUGGAUAUCAUGUACUAUAGGUAAUGUUGUAGAUAUUGGAAACACAUUGGGCUAGAUGCAUUGGAUUUAUCAAAGCCAUUGAACUGCCACUUUUGCCGCCGCUGAAAAAGUCAGUUGAACGGAAAGUAGUGCUUGGAAACAAUUGGACCUGGUUGUUGCAACUGGUGGUGAUGGAACUCUUCCGCUGGCCCGCCAUUUAAUGGAUGGCAAAAUUCCUGUCCUUUGAUUGAACUCAGAUCCUACUUGGAUUGAUGAGGUUUAUCAUAUACAUGUAGUAUUUGUUUAAAUAUUGAUAUAUUGGCUUCUGAAUUUAGACAUUUUGUUUGAAUUAAUGAAUUUAUAUCUUAUUUGUAAUAGGUGGAAAAAUUAAGUGGUGAGUUUUGAUGCUUCUAGAAGUACCGGUCAUCUUUCUGCUGCAACUAUUGAAAACUUCGAACCAAUAUUCUUUCAGUUUUGAUUCCAUGGAGUAGCUAAAACUAUUUAUGUUUUAUGAUGCUCUAGUUCUUUCGUUUAUGUACAACUUAAUGAAUUAAUAUCUUUACUAUUAUAGAUUAUAUUCUUUGGAAUAAGAUUAUGAAAUUUUAUAUUUGCAUCAUUCUUUUUUGCCAUUGAUUUGUGCCAUUGAUUUGUGCUUUGGUUUGGGGAUUAAUAGUAGUUACCUUUUUUUGUUGUUUAAUGUGGAGACACCACCUCUCAUUUUAUUAAUUUCAGAGACACUGCCCUUGAAAGUGUCAAGCAGCUGAUAAUGAGUUUAGAAAUAAAGCUUGACUCACUUACUACUUAGCACCAUAAAGAGAAAGAGAAAUAGAGACUAUGCCUUUAAAAUGUAGAAGAAACAUGGAGAAUCAGAUACAAGACAAUGAAGAUAUGCAAAAGAAUUUGCAAGAUCUUAAACAGAGAUGUAGAAUAUUGAAGACAUUGAUUGAAGAAGAACCAUAAAAAUAUCAUACUCACUUCAUCAAUAUAUCAAGAAAGGGAUAGAAGCUGACGGAAAUCACAGAAUUGAGGAACCUUACAAGAAGGUUCAUGCUGCUAUUCGUGCAGAAUGAAAAAGUAUGGGAAGCAGCCACAAAGGAACACAAGAGAUAUAUGAUUUUGAUGUUUGUUACUAAUCUAUUGAUGAUAUGAAAAUUCAUUUGAAUUAGUGGCAGCAUAUGUGCCAU